Molecule: ribosomal RNA, 468 nt
Filed under: uncultured bacterium
Lineage: Bacteria
Description: partial 16S ribosomal RNA
Rfam family: Bacterial small subunit ribosomal RNA
Source: RNAcentral
GACGAACGCUGGCGGCGUGCUUAACACAUGCAAGUCGAACGGAAAGGCCCUGCUUUUGUGGGGUGCUCGAGUGGCGAACGGGUGAGUAACACGUGAGUAACCUGCCCUUGACUUUGGGAUAACUUCAGGAAACUGGGUCUAAUACCUGAUAGUAGCUCCUGCUGCAUGGUUGGGGUUGGAAAGUUUCUGCGGUUGGGGAUGGACUCGCGGCUUAUCAGCUUGUUGGUGGGGUAGUGGCUUACCAAGGCUUUGACGGGUAGCCGGCCUGAGAGGGUGACCGGCCACAUUGGGACUGAGAUACGGCCCAGACUCCUACGGGAGGCAGCAGUGGGGAAUAUUGCACAAUGGGCGGAAGCCUGAUGCAGCAACGCCGCGUGCGGGAUGACGGCCUUCGGGUUGUAAACCGCUUUCGCCUGUGACGAAGCGUGAGUGACGGUAAUGGGUAAAGAAGCACCGGCUAACUACGUG